ACACACGUGCUACAAUGGUCGGUACAGAGGGUUGCCAAGCCGCGAGGUGGAGCUAAUCCCAGAAAACCGAUCGUAGUCCGGAUCGCAGUCUGCAACUCGACUGCGUGAAGUCGGAAUCGCUAGUAAUCGCGAAUCAGAAUGCCGCGGUGAAUACGUUCCCGGGCCUUGUACACACCGCCCGUCACACCAUGGGAGUGGGUUGCACCAGA
This 209-nucleotide ribosomal RNA is filed under the name Crypthecodinium cohnii. Its description in RNAcentral is "partial Bacterial small subunit ribosomal RNA". It matches the Rfam family "Bacterial small subunit ribosomal RNA", at positions 1216 to 1424 of the family's 1533-position model. The record is from RNAcentral. Lineage: Eukaryota; Dinophyceae; Gonyaulacales; Crypthecodiniaceae.